This 99-nucleotide non-coding RNA is filed under the name Bdellovibrionales bacterium. Its description in RNAcentral is "Guanine sequence". It matches the Rfam family "Purine riboswitch aptamer". Rfam says of the family: Riboswitches are metabolite binding domains within certain messenger RNAs that serve as precision sensors for their corresponding targets. Allosteric rearrangement of mRNA structure is mediated by ligand binding, and this results in modulation of gene expression. Lineage: Bacteria; Pseudomonadati; Bdellovibrionota; Bdellovibrionia; Bdellovibrionales. The record is from RNAcentral.
AUUCUUCAUUUCAGUUACCUAAGUAUAUGCUGGAGAUAGGGUUCAGCGUUUCUACCGGGCACCGUAACAGGCCUGACUACAAAGGGGAUUUUAAUGAAG